AGCAAGGAUGGUGGAAGGAGACGGUCAUCAUUAUAUAAAAUACAUGUAUGAAGAUGUGAAUUUGCUGUCAACAUACCUUAUAUACAAAUAGAGAUUUGAUAAAUUGUAGUAUAAAGGUGUAUUAAGAAUUGUAGUGCAAAAAUAAUCAAUAAGAGAGCUCACGUAUAAUGGCAUAAUUUGGCAUGAACAUACUUUAUAUACAGAGUUAUGAAAAAUUGUGCUGUGAAUGGAUCAUUAUGAAUGUAAUGCACUCCACUAUUGUCAUGUAUGAAAUAAAUAAAUAAUAAUAAAAAAAUAAAAUAAAGUUCCAUUUGAGUACGAAAUUAAAAAUAUUUUCAUCAGCAAGGGAAGUGUAAA
Molecule: long non-coding RNA, 357 nt
Filed under: Marmota monax (woodchuck)
Lineage: Eukaryota; Metazoa; Chordata; Mammalia; Rodentia; Sciuridae
Source: RNAcentral